RNAcentral lists this ribosomal RNA (540 nucleotides) under uncultured bacterium. RNAcentral describes it as "bacterial SSU rRNA". It matches the Rfam family "Bacterial small subunit ribosomal RNA", at positions 777 to 1319 of the family's 1533-position model. The record is from RNAcentral.
AAUAGAUACCCUGGUAGUCCACGCUGUAAACGAUGAGGACUAAAUGUUGGUAGGGGAACCUAUCGGUAUUGAAGCUAACGCGAUAAGUCUUCCGCCUGGGAAGUACGGCCGCAAGGUUGAAACUCAAAUGAAUUGACGGGGGCCCGCACAAGCGGUGGAGCAUGUGGUUUAAUUCGAUGCAACGCGAAGAACCUUACCUACCCUUGACAUCCUGCGAAUCCCGAUGAGAGUUGGGAGUGCCGCAAGGAGCGCAGAGACAGGUGCUGCAUGGCUGUCGUCAGCUCGUGUUGUGAGGUGUUGGGUUAAGUCCCGUAACGAGCGCAACCCUUGUCCUUAGUUGCCAGCAUUAAGUUGGGGACUCUAAGGAGGCUGCCGGUGAGGAACCGGAGGAAGGCGGGGACGACGUCAAGUCAUCAUGGCCUUUAUGGGUAGGGCUACACACGUGCUACAAUGGGGCGUACAGAGGGUCGCGAACCCGCGAGGGGGAGCCAAUCUCAUAAAGCGUCUCGUAGUCCGGAUUGGAGUCUGCAACUCGACUCC